UACGAAGGGGGCUAGCGUUGCUCGGAAUCACUGGGCGUAAAGGGUGCGUAGGCGGGUUUUUAAGUCAGAGGUGAAAUCCUGGAGCUCAACUCCAGAACUGCCUUUGAUACUGAGAAUCUUGAGUACGGGAGAGGUGAGUGGAACUGCGAGUGUAGAGGUGAAAUUCGUAGAUAUUCGGAAGAACACCAGUGGCGAAGGCGGCUCACUGGACCGGCAUUGACGCUGAGGUGCGAAAGCGUGGGGAGCAAACAGG
RNAcentral lists this ribosomal RNA (253 nucleotides) under uncultured bacterium. RNAcentral describes it as "partial 16S ribosomal RNA". It matches the Rfam family "Bacterial small subunit ribosomal RNA", at positions 524 to 776 of the family's 1533-position model. The record is from RNAcentral.